CCGGACUUCUUCGACAAUGAGCUUCCUCAUUCAUCUAUCGGACUGCUCCAAAUGCCCUCUAAACUUCGCUAUCAGUCGAUUUUCUACAGUGAUCGACUAUUCUCUGAAUCUCUUCCAGACUUCUUCUGGCCACGGACGACUCUACUCCGAACUUCGUCCGGACUUCGUCAGUGUCCGAGCUUCUGCGACAAUGAGAUUUCUAUAGUAACCAGACUCCAUCCAAGUUUCUACGGC
This 234-nucleotide long non-coding RNA is filed under the name Elaeis guineensis (African oil palm). Its description in RNAcentral is "long non-coding RNA (EGUI_LNC035759)". Lineage: Eukaryota; Viridiplantae; Streptophyta; Magnoliopsida; Arecales; Arecaceae. The record is from RNAcentral.